RNAcentral lists this ribosomal RNA (494 nucleotides) under uncultured bacterium. Its description in RNAcentral is "partial 16S ribosomal RNA". It matches the Rfam family "Bacterial small subunit ribosomal RNA", at positions 28 to 523 of the family's 1533-position model. The record is from RNAcentral.
GAUGAACGCUAGCGGCAGGCCUAACACAUGCAAGUCGAGGGGUAGAGCACUUCGGUGUUUGAGACCGGCGCACGGGAGCGUAACGCGUAUGCAAUCUGCCUUACACUAAGGGAUAGCCCAGAGAAAUUUGGAUUAAUACCUUAUAGUAUAUUGAUGUGGCAUCACAUUAUUAUUAAAGAUUUAUCGGUGUAAGAUGAGCAUGCGUCCCAUUAGCUAGUUGGUAUGGUAACGGCAUACCAAGGCAAUGAUGGGUAGGGGUCCUGAGAGGGAGAUCCCCCACACUGGUACUGAGACACGGACCAGACUCCUACGGGAGGCAGCAGUGAGGAAUAUUGGACAAUGGGCGCAAGCCUGAUCCAGCCAUGCCGCGUGCAGGAUGAAGCAUCUAUGGUGUGUAAACUGCUUUUGUACGGGAAGAAACACCUCUUCGUGAAGAGGCUCGACGGUACCGUAAGAAUAAGGACCGGCUAACUCCGUGCCAGCAGCCGCAGUAA